Podarcis lilfordi (Lilford's wall lizard) is the source of this 81-nucleotide non-coding RNA. The record is from the annotation of a GenBank genome assembly. NCBI's taxonomy places the organism in Eukaryota, Metazoa, Chordata, Lepidosauria, Squamata, Lacertidae.
GGCUGGAUAGCUCAGCUGGCUAGAGCAUGGUCCUGCAAACGCCAAGGUUGCAGAUUCAAUCCCAGCUGCAUAGUCCUGCCU